Molecule: transfer RNA, 72 nt
Filed under: Camelus bactrianus (Bactrian camel)
Lineage: Eukaryota; Metazoa; Chordata; Mammalia; Artiodactyla; Camelidae
Also listed under: 2 other names
Rfam family: tRNA
About the family: Transfer RNA (tRNA) molecules are approximately 80 nucleotides in length. Their secondary structure includes four short double-helical elements and three loops (D, anti-codon, and T loops).
Source: Rfam by way of RNAcentral
GAGGGUAUAGCUCAGUGGUAGAGCAUGUGCUUAGCAAGCACAUGGUCCUGGGUUUAAUUCCCAGCAUCACUA